RNAcentral lists this ribosomal RNA (768 nucleotides) under uncultured Bacteroidota bacterium. RNAcentral's name for it is "bacterial SSU rRNA". It matches the Rfam family "Bacterial small subunit ribosomal RNA", at positions 57 to 817 of the family's 1533-position model. Lineage: Bacteria; Pseudomonadati; Bacteroidota. The record is from RNAcentral.
GCAAGUCGAGGGGUAACAGGGAGUGCUUGCACUCUGCUGACGACCGGCGCACGCGUGCGUAACGCGUAUGCAACCUACCUUCUACAGGGGGAUAGCCCAGAGAAAUUUGGAAUAAUACCCCAUACGAUCUUUACUUGGCAUCGAGUAGAGAAGAAAACUUUUUGUGGUAGAAGAUGGGCAUGCGUCCUAUUAGUUAGUUGGUGAGGUAACGGCUCACCAAGACUUCGAUAGGUAGGGGCCCUGAGAGGGGGAUCCCCCACACUGGUACUGAGACACGGACCAGACUCCUACGGGAGGCAGCAGUGAGGAAUAUUGGACAAUGGGGGCAACCCUGAUCCAGCCAUGCCGCGUGCAGGAAGACUGCCCUAUGGGUUGUAAACUGCUUUUAUACAGGAAGAAACUGUGCUACGUGUAGUGCACUGACGGUACUGUAAGAAUAAGGAUCGGCUAACUCCGUGCCAGCAGCCGCGGUAAUACGGAGGAUCCAAGCGUUAUCCGGAAUCAUUGGGUUUAAAGGGUCCGUAGGUGGUCCAUUAAGUCAGAGGUGAAAGCCUAUCGCUCAACGAUAGAACUGCCUUUGAUACUGAUGGACUUGAGUUAUUGUGAAGUAGUUAGAAUAUGUAGUGUAGCGGUGAAAUGCAUAGAUAUUACAUAGAAUACCGAUUGCGAAGGCAGAUUACUAACAAUAUACUGACACUGAGGGACGAAAGCGUGGGUAGCGAACAGGAUUAGAUACCCUGGUAGUCCACGCCGUAAACGAUGGUCACU